RNAcentral lists this ribosomal RNA (564 nucleotides) under Staphylococcus aureus. RNAcentral's name for it is "partial 23S ribosomal RNA". It matches the Rfam family "Bacterial large subunit ribosomal RNA", at positions 2339 to 2904 of the family's 2925-position model. Lineage: Bacteria; Bacillati; Bacillota; Bacilli; Caryophanales; Staphylococcaceae. The record is from RNAcentral.
CAUUCAUAGAGUGUAAAGGCAUAAGGGAGCUUGACUGCGAGACCUACAAGUCGAGCAGGGUCGAAAGACGGACUUAGUGAUCCGGUGGUUCCGCAUGGAAGGGCCAUCGCUCAACGGAUAAAAGCUACCCCGGGGAUAACAGGCUUAUCUCCCCCAAGAGUUCACAUCGACGGGGAGGUUUGGCACCUCGAUGUCGGCUCAUCGCAUCCUGGGGCUGUAGUCGGUCCCAAGGGUUGGGCUGUUCGCCCAUUAAAGCGGUACGCGAGCUGGGUUCAGAACGUCGUGAGACAGUUCGGUCCCUAUCCGUCGUGGGCGUAGGAAAUUUGAGAGGAGCUGUCCUUAGUACGAGAGGACCGGGAUGGACAUACCUCUGGUGUACCAGUUGUCGUGCCAACGGCAUAGCUGGGUAGCUAUGUGUGGACGGGAUAAGUGCUGAAAGCAUCUAAGCAUGAAGCCCCCCUCAAGAUGAGAUUUCCCAACUUCGGUUAUAAGAUCCCUCAAAGAUGAUGAGGUUAAUAGGUUCGAGGUGGAAGCAUGGUGACAUGUGGAGCUGACGAAUACUAA